RNAcentral lists this ribosomal RNA (318 nucleotides) under uncultured marine eukaryote. Its description in RNAcentral is "SSU rRNA". It matches the Rfam family "Eukaryotic small subunit ribosomal RNA", at positions 612 to 935 of the family's 1831-position model. The record is from RNAcentral.
GUUGCGGUUAAAAAGCUCGUAGUUGGAUUUCUUCAUAAGGAGGGCGGUCUGCGCUAUGCGACACGUAUCUGCCACUCUUUGUGAAUCCGGAAGUUUAAGGUGUGUCGCUUCAUUGCGACAUCCGUAGGCUUCUCUUUUACUUUGAGGAAAUUAGAGUGUUCACGGCAGGCAAUCGCCCUGAAUACAUUAGCAUGGAAUAAUAAUAUAGGACGUUGGCCCUAUUUUGUUGGUUUCUAGAGCUAACGUAAUGAUUAAUAGGGAUAAUUGGGGGCAUUCGUAUUAUCACGUCAGAGGUGGAAUUCUUGGAUUGUGUUACGA